UACAGAGGUCCCAAGCGUUGUUCGGAUUCACUGGGCGUAAAGGGUGCGUAGGCGGUCGGGUAAGUCAGACGUGAAAUCCCUCGGCUCAACCGGGGAACUGCGUCUGAUACUGGAUGGCUUGAAUUCGGGAGAGGGAUGCGGAAUUCCAGGUGUAGCGGUGAAAUGCGUAGAUAUCUGGAGGAACACCGGUGGCGAAGGCGGCAUCCUGGACCGAGAUUGACGCUGAUGCGCGAAAGCCAGGGGAGCAAACGGG
RNAcentral lists this ribosomal RNA (253 nucleotides) under uncultured bacterium. Its description in RNAcentral is "partial 16S ribosomal RNA". It matches the Rfam family "Bacterial small subunit ribosomal RNA", at positions 524 to 776 of the family's 1533-position model. The record is from RNAcentral.